UACGGAGGAUGCAAGCGUUAUCCGGAUUUAUUGGGUUUAAAGGGUGCGUAGGCGGAUUAAUAAGUCAGUGGUGAAAUCUUUCGGCUCAACCGAGAAACUGCCAUUGAUACUGUUAAUCUUGAGUUCGGUUGAGGUAGGCGGAAUGUGUAAUGUAGCGGUGAAAUGCUUAGAUAUUACACAGAACACCAAUUGCGUAGGCAGCUUACUAGACCGACACUGACGCUGAGGCACGAAAGCGUGGGGAGCGAACAGGAUUAGAUACCCCCGUA
This 269-nucleotide ribosomal RNA is filed under the name uncultured prokaryote. Its description in RNAcentral is "partial 16S ribosomal RNA". It matches the Rfam family "Bacterial small subunit ribosomal RNA", at positions 524 to 792 of the family's 1533-position model. The record is from RNAcentral.